Molecule: ribosomal RNA, 514 nt
Filed under: uncultured bacterium
Lineage: Bacteria
Description: partial 16S ribosomal RNA
Rfam family: Bacterial small subunit ribosomal RNA
Source: RNAcentral
GAUGAACGCUGGCGGCGUGCCUAAUACAUGCAAGUCGAGCGAAUGGAUUAAGAGCUUGCUCUUAUGAAGUUAGCGGCGGACGGGUGAGGAACACGUGGGUAACCUGCCCAUAAGACUGGGAUAACUCCGGGAAACAGGGGCUAAUACCGGAUAACAUUUGAACCGCAUGGUUCGAAAUUGAAGGGCGGCUUCGGCUGUCACUUAUGGAUGGACCCGCGUCGCAUUAGCUAGUUGGUGAGGUAACGGCUCACCAAGGGAACGAUGGGUAGCCGACCUGAGAGGGUGAUCGGCCACACUGGGACUGAGACACGGCCCAGACUCCUACGGGAGGCAGCAGUAGGGAAUCUUCCGCAAUGGACGAAAGUCUGACGGAGCAACGCCGCGUGAGUGAUGAAGGCUUUCGGGUCGUAAAACUCUGUUGUUAGGGAAGAACAAGUGCUAGUUGAAUAAGCUGGCACCUUGACGGUACCUAACCAGAAAGCCACGGCUAACUACGUGCCAGCAGCCGCCGUAA